CAUUCAGAGGUUUGGUUUUCUCUGAGAACAGAUCUCCUCCGAAAGGAAAACAUAACGGGCAUACUUCGCAGGUUCCUGAGUUAUACAAAAGGACUCAUCCAUCUGCUACUUAUUAACUAGAUUAAUAUCAUUUAAACUAUUCACUGCCUAUGGAUCACUGAUUUCUUGCAUACUCACCAGAAGGAUCGUAUGGCGGUGAAACUUCCACAAGGUCACAACCUACCACGUUCAGGCUCUGACAGCCCCGGAUGAUUUCCAGAGCCUGUCCAAGAUCAAGCCACAGUGGUAACCAUUUCUAGUGAAAAGCAGCCAGCAGAGGCCUCCGGGGAUUUCUCCCAACACGUGGCCACCUUUGACAUGGAACUGUUGCUUUCCCUCAGUGAACAUUAAACCGUCGGGCACAGUGGCAGGCAUCAUGGAGACACAAAUAACCAGUGCUCGGCCCCUGCUCCUGAGGGCUCGCUCCACAGUGUGAUUUGAUGAUGGUGACAAGGAAACCAAUUAUUUCAGUGCCAAAUUAAGGGCUUCAAGAAAAGCAAGCAUAGAAUAGUGUAAGCACAUGAAACCGUUGGAAGAGGUGGUGGAAGGCCUCCCCAAGGUGGACAUGGCUCAAGAAAGUGACCAAAGAGACAAGCAGGGGAAGGGCAGCCCAGGCAGAGGGAAAGACACAUGCGAAAGGCACCGAGAUGGGAGAACCAGUAGUGAGAUGUGGCCAGCAGACGGAGUCAGGGAGAGGGAUGGUAGGGAGAGGCGCUUUGUCUGCGUUUUCAUUCUGCAGGUGAAGAGCCCAGAAGGACGAUAAGCUGAGGGAUGAGGACUGUGUUUCAGAAAACUGACGAGAACUCAGGAUGCCUUUAAAGAGGCGGUCCUGACCAUCCUCCUUUCUUAGAGGCUAUGGGAUAAUUAAAUAAGCAGUCUCCAUUCAUUUCCUCACAAAUAUCUUCGAGUACCUACUACAUGCCAGGCACUGUUCUAGGCUCCAAGGAGAGGGUAGUGAACCAAACAAAGGCCCGACCUCCCGGAUUUACCUCCUAGUUAUAACCACGCUCCCAUUCUGCCUCCCUGCUUUACGUUCAGUGUACCCCGUGGGAGCUGUAUUUGGGUAUUUCUAAAACUCUUGAACUACCUUGGUAGCUGGUUGAUCCAACUGCACACUUCACGCUUUUAAAAUUUAACCCCCAAAAGAUAAGUUCAGUGUCCUUAAGAAGGGGUCGUACGAUAUCGUCCCCAUGAACCAACUACACGUGGACUAGAGACAGAAAGAUCACAUAAAGGACAGUGAUAUCCCAGAUAAAUGAGGGCACUUGCUAAAAUCAGCCACUUCUCAGUAAGGGGGUAUUCAACCCUACAGUCGGCCCUGAGGACAGUAUAAAGACUUAAGUGCUCAGUUUUUAAAAUCCUACCUUGAUUGCCGAAGACUCACUACAAGGACCAGAAAAGUAGGGAGUUAAAAAUCCUCCCUCCCAGGAACGGUCACUGCUGGAGCCUCCUUACCUGACUAGGGGUGAGACCAGCAAUUUCAGGGGUCCCUGUCCCCGGGGCAUAGGCAGGAUCCAAGCCGUCAAUAUCAAAGCUGAUGUAAACAGGUCUGCCUCCCAUCUGCUGCCUCACUUCCCCCAUCAGAGGGACCAGUGACUUCAUCCAGCAGUCUUCAGCCAGGACCACCCGGAAGCCCUGAGGAGGUGGGAAUCGAAGAGCGGGGGCGCAAGGCCUCAGCAUGGCAGCGUUCCCUAUGUGGCAGCCCCAAGCUCAGCUCUUUAUGUCCACAUCACGUUUGACCGCCAGCCUUCACGAGGAAGGAACCGUCAUCCCCAUUUUGCAGGGGAGGAAGGUAGGAACGGCAGCUGGUAAAGAAGCAGGGAGAAAGCCCACGGUGACCUGUGGAGCUGGGAUCAGAGAGAAGCCCGAGUGAGAAACUCAGGACAGAUCAUGCCAGCACCGCCCGAACAGCUCUGUCCAGAGACUGGCCUUUGCACGCUCUAAAAGCAGGGGACUUGGGUCCUGCCUGUUGGGGGUCUUGUCCUACGUAUUUACCUGGGAGCCACCUGGCCUAGUGAGUAUGAGGAUGAGAACUAAGAAGGCAGCCAGUCACCUUGGGUUUGAACCUCCUCAGCUCUUUUCCAAGCCAGCAACAUCCAGGAGCUGGUUCGUUGCUGCUUGUCUCCCCACCCCAGCGAUAAGAGGCUUCCUCUACCCCAUCGGCUACCGUCCUUGCUCCUCUCUGCUCCACGUGACCCUCUCGACGCAAAGUCAGCUUUUUGUCCUCAUUUUCUGAAGCUGAUUAUUAAAGCCUCUGUUGAAUCCAUAGCCACCAUGGAUGGAGUGGACAAUCGAGAGAAAGGCAUUUUGCGGGCAGGAGACAGAGGGAGGGGCAUUGGGUCUGUCACCUGGUUCCGGCUGUAACUGUAGGGAUCCAAGGUCAUGGACGAGCCCCGGAUGCCAAUCUGCACUACGCGCUUACAGUCCAAGAGUCCCUCGUCCACGCAUCGGCGGAAGGGUGUCCCAUGAUAGAUCUUCUCUCCCAGGGCCUUGUCGGCUAUGUCCAUGUGAGCAUCCACGUGCAGAAGCCCCACAGGGCCAUGCCUGAUGACAACAGGGCAGCUCAGAGGCCAGGCUUCCUCAUGGGACCUGAGCACAGCCACCCUCCAAUCUACCAAAACUUGAUGACAGUUCAUAGCUAAGGAGGGGAGACCUGGCAUCAGUUACCGGCCUUGUGACUGGUUUCUGUCUUCAAAUGACUUAUUAUCUCAGAACAAUAAACUCAGAGAAGUCAGGCCCAAAAUAGACAUGUGCUUUAGCUGCCACCCACUACAUAUCACCCAGGAUUUUCUUCACUUAGAAAUGGAGAGAGCCAGGAGGAUGACAAUGAAGGAUAAACUCAGCUGAACUAAUCAGAGCCACCCUUUCUCCAGCUGUGGCGCCAAGAAGCUACUUCGACCCAGCUCUCUUGCCAUAAUCUCCAUCAACGCUGCUGGCCACCCAAAAGAAACAUACGAUCCAAAACCAUGCUGGGCAAACAGAGCUUCAAAAAAAAGACUUGUACCCACCCACCCCAAAUUAGAAUUCUGCCUACACGUCUUUCCAAUCUAUGAAUUCUGGAGCUGCUGCCGCCUUGGCCCAUCUGUCUCUUUCCCAAACUAAUUAACCAAACUUAGUCAAUCCUUGGUAGAGUUCCACUACUAGGAAAGCCAGUUUCUCAUUCUGAGGGAAAAAGGGGCCCUUACAGGAAAAACGAGAGCCUCUCUUCAUCACAGUGGCUUGCCCUGGAGAAGUAGCUGUACUCCGGCCCAGCAUUACUCAACCCCGAGGGCAGAGACCUGCCCUUGCCCUUGCAGAUGCCAUUACC
Molecule: long non-coding RNA, 3346 nt
Organism: Pteropus alecto (black flying fox)
Lineage: Eukaryota; Metazoa; Chordata; Mammalia; Chiroptera; Pteropodidae
Exons: 3
Source: RefSeq, a predicted model, not a curated record